This 374-nucleotide RNase P RNA is filed under the name Geobacteraceae bacterium. Its description in RNAcentral is "Bacterial RNase P class A". It matches the Rfam family "Bacterial RNase P class A". Rfam says of the family: Ribonuclease P (RNase P) is a ubiquitous endoribonuclease, found in archaea, bacteria and eukarya as well as chloroplasts and mitochondria. Its best characterised activity is the generation of mature 5'-ends of tRNAs by cleaving the 5'-leader elements of precursor-tRNAs. The record is from Rfam by way of RNAcentral. Lineage: Bacteria; Pseudomonadati; Thermodesulfobacteriota; Desulfuromonadia; Geobacterales; Geobacteraceae.
GAAGCAGAACAGACAGUCGCCGCGUUUCACCUGUUGAAACGGGGAGGAAAGUCCGGGCUCCAGAGAGCAUGGUGCUGGAUAACGUCCAGCGGGGGUGACCCCAGGGAAAGUGCCACAGAGAGAAGUCCGCCCGCUAUAUGCGGGUAAGGGUGAAAGGGUGAGGUAAGAGCUCACCGGGUUCGGCGGUGACGCCGGAUGCCAGGUAAACCCCACCAGGAGCAAGACCAAAUAGGGGAGCAUCAAGGGCUGCUCGCCCGCGCUUCCGGGUUGGUUGCUUGAGGUCGUCGGUAACGGCGAUCCUAGAUGAAUGACUGUCACCUCCUUCAAGGUAACUUGGGAGAGGAACAGGACCCGGCUUACGGUCUGCUUCAGCC